RNAcentral lists this ribosomal RNA (480 nucleotides) under Sporisorium sorghi. RNAcentral's name for it is "LSU rRNA". It matches the Rfam family "Eukaryotic large subunit ribosomal RNA", at positions 80 to 559 of the family's 3401-position model. The record is from RNAcentral. Lineage: Eukaryota; Fungi; Basidiomycota; Ustilaginomycetes; Ustilaginales; Ustilaginaceae.
CUAGUAACGGCGAGUGAAGAGGGAAGAGCCCAAGAUUGAAAGCUGGCGUCUUCGGCGUCCGCAUUGUAAUCUCAAGAAGUGUUUUCCGCUCCGGACCAUGCCCAAGUCCUUUGGAAAAAGGCAUCAUAGAGGGUGAUAGUCCCGUCCAUGGCAUGGAGCGCCCGGAGCUUUGUGAUACGCUUUCUAAGAGUCGAGUUGUUUGGGAAUGCAGCUCAAAAUGGGUGGUAAAUGCCAUCUAAGGCUAAAUAUUGGGGAGAGACCGAUAGCGAACAAGUACAGUGAUGGAAAGAUGAAAAGCACUUUGAAAAGAGAGUUAAACAGUACGUGAAAUUGCCAAAAGGGAAGGGUAGGAGGUCAGAGAUGCGUCUUGGGAUUCAGCCUUGCAUUUUUGCUUGGUGUUUUUCCCAAGCUGCAGGCCAACGUCGGUUUUGGGCACUGGAGAAGGGUGGAAGGAACGUGGCACCCUUCGGGGUGUGUUAU